UUGAUUUUGGAAACUCUGAAUUUGCCUAUGUAUAAUUGCUGUUGAUUACGUUAUAGCAAUGUUUUUCGUUUAUCCUUCCAUUGGCAGCUUCUGAAGACUGCAAACAGAUAGCAGCUUGUGAGACAAGAAUGAAAAUAUCAACAAAGAGACUGAUCAAAAUGAAGAAGAUAUAUUUUGUAGGGGACCCAUCAGCAACAGCUGAGGACCAUCUUUCGUGCCAACCUUGAAGAGGCUCGUGGGCCAACUGGAGUGUCUUGAAGGUGUUUGAUGCCUUUGCAUUCUAAUGUUAUCACUCCUGAACUCGAUGAGGCUCUGCAGAAGGAGAUUCAACCUGCAUUUCAUAAAAUUCAGAGAGCAGCCCCAAACAUCACAGGAUGGAGAUGUGGACAGGAAUGAGAUAAGUCACGAGAUGUUAUGGAAAAGCAUUCCAAAGUUCUUUGCUAAUGGUGCUUAUAAUGUGCUCCAUGUUAAUAAUCUUCAUAGGAUUCUUGAGAUAAAGGGACCUCUUCUAAUGUGGUGUAGUAGUCCUCUGCAAGCUUUGGCAUCAUGCUAUUAUUUAGCGAAGGUCAAAUUUCAAAACGCUUGCAGGAGGACCGCAUGUGCAGGUGGUAUGUGAAGUUAAGUACAAAGUCGUUUUUGUCAACAAGAUUACCGUUUAGAUGUCGACUUCAAGCUGUGAGAGACUUCUUUCAUGGCAAAAGCGAAUGUUGUGGAAUCAUUAAAUAUAUGUGAAUUGCAAGCAAGAUUUUCAGUGAAAA
Molecule: long non-coding RNA, 758 nt
Organism: Syzygium oleosum
Lineage: Eukaryota; Viridiplantae; Streptophyta; Magnoliopsida; Myrtales; Myrtaceae
Exons: 4
Source: RefSeq, a predicted model, not a curated record